RNAcentral lists this ribosomal RNA (459 nucleotides) under uncultured bacterium. RNAcentral's name for it is "partial 16S ribosomal RNA". It matches the Rfam family "Bacterial small subunit ribosomal RNA", at positions 338 to 794 of the family's 1533-position model. The record is from RNAcentral.
CCUACGGGGGGCAGCAGUGAGGAAUAUUGGUCAAUGGGCGCGAGCCUGAACCAGCCAAGUAGCGUGAAGGAUGACUGCCCUACGGGUUGUAAACUUCUUCUAUAAAGGAAUAAAGUGAGGCACGUGUGCCUUUUUGUAUGUACUUUAUGAAUAAGGAUCGGCUAACUCCGCGCCAGCAGCCGCGGUAAUAUGGAGGAUCCGAGCGUUAUCCGGAUUUAUUGGGUUUAAAGGGAGCGUCGAUGGGUUGUUAAGUCAGUUGUGAAAGUUUGCGGCUAAACCGUAAAAUUGCAAUUGAUACUGGCAGCCUUGAGUACAGUUGAGGUAGGCGGAAUUCGUGGUGUAGCGGUGAAAUGCUUAGAUAUCACGAAGAACUCCGAUUGCGAAGGCAGCUUACGAAACUGCCACUGACAUUGAUGCUCGAAAGUGUGGGUAUCAAACAGGAUUAGAUACCCGGGUAGU